RNAcentral lists this ribosomal RNA (468 nucleotides) under uncultured bacterium. RNAcentral's name for it is "partial 16S ribosomal RNA". It matches the Rfam family "Bacterial small subunit ribosomal RNA", at positions 28 to 507 of the family's 1533-position model. The record is from RNAcentral.
GACGAACGCUGGCGGCGUGCUUAACACAUGCAAGUCGAACGGAAAGGCCCUGCUUUUGUGGGGUGCUCGAGUGGCGAACGGGUGAGUAACACGUGAGUAACCUGCCCUUGACUUUGGGAUAACUUCAGGAAACUGGGGCUAAUACCGGAUAGGAGCUCCUGCUGCAUGGUGGGGGUUGGAAAGUUUCGGCGGUUGGGGAUGGACGCGCGGCUUAUCAGCUUGUUGGUGGGGUAGUGGCUUACCAAGGCUUUGACGGGUAGCCGGCCUGGGAGGGUGACCGGCCACAUUGGGCCUGCGAUACGCCCCAGACUCCUACGGGGGGCAGCAGUGGGGAAUAUUGCACAAUGGGCCGAAGCCUGAUGCAGCAACGCCGCGUGCGGGAUGCCGGCCUUCGGGUUGUAAACCGCUUUCGCCUGUGACGAAGCGUGAGUGACGGUAAUGGGUAAAGAAGCACCGGCUAACUACGUG